CCUACGGGAGGCAGCAGUCGAGAAUUAUUCACAAUGGGGGAAACCCUGAUGGUGCGACGCCGCGUGGAGGAAUGAAGGUCUUCGGAUUGUAAACCCCUGUCAUGUGGGAGCAAAUUAAAAAGAUAGUACCACAAGAGGAAGAGACGGCUAACUCUGUGCCAGCAGCCGCGGUAAUACAGAGGUCUCAAGCGUUGUUCGGAAUCACUGGGCGUAAGGCGUGCGUAGGCUGUUUGGUAAGUCGUGUGUGAAAGGCGCGGGCUCAACCCGCGGACGGCACAUGAUACUGCGAGACUAGAGUAAUGGAGGGGGAACCGGAAUUCUCGGUGUAGCAGUGAAAUGCGUAGAUAUCGAGAGGAACACUCGUGGCGAAGGCGGGUUCCUGGACAUUAACUGACGCUGAGGCACGAAGGCCAGGGGAGCGAAAGGGAUUAGAUACCCUUGUAGUC
This 446-nucleotide ribosomal RNA is filed under the name uncultured bacterium. RNAcentral describes it as "partial 16S ribosomal RNA". It matches the Rfam family "Bacterial small subunit ribosomal RNA", at positions 338 to 795 of the family's 1533-position model. The record is from RNAcentral.